CACGUAGGGGCGAGCGUUGUCCGGAAUUACUGGGCGUAAAGGGCGCGCAGGCGGUUAUGUUAGUCUGCUGUGAAAAGCAUCGGCUUAACCGGCGUAGGGCGGUAGAUACUGUGGAUCUGGAAUGCGGUUGGGGAAGACAGAAUUCCUGGUGUAGCGGUGGAAUGCGCAGAGAUCAGGAGGAAUACUGAAGGCGAAGGCAGUCUUCCAAGCCGUUAUUGACGCUCAACUGCGAAGGUGUGGGUAUCAAACAGGAUUAGAUACCCGUGUA
This 268-nucleotide ribosomal RNA is filed under the name uncultured prokaryote. Its description in RNAcentral is "partial 16S ribosomal RNA". It matches the Rfam family "Bacterial small subunit ribosomal RNA", at positions 524 to 792 of the family's 1533-position model. The record is from RNAcentral.